UCUUGAUCAUUAAGAGUAACUUUGUGCUAAUCACGUCGGCGCUAUAAUAACCUUGCAACAUCAGCUUCCGUAGGUUCACAUCUGUUCUGCCCAAGCAUGCGGUAGGGACGAAGCUGAGAGAAUCUGAAGGCUUGGAAAGUUUGUUUAUCUCGUUUGAUUUCAAGCUGACCACGGGUUCCCUCUCGUUCUCCUCCCAAAGACUUUUUAAGCGAUAAACUCUCCCACACAGCGCUGUAAUCAAGUGAGGCAACUCGUCUGCCAGAUGCCAGAACAGGACUCAUCCUCUACUCAGUCAACCAGUCAAUCUCGUAGCGUUUUGGAGGAUUUGAGGCAUGGGAUCUCAAAUAUCCAGUCUUUCAAGCCACACCCCGGUAUGAAUUACCACAGCUUACUCUAAUGUGCUCCCAACUAUUUUUCUUGAUUUUUUUCCCUUUUAUAAAACCAACAUCAUCUGUGCUCAAACUUUGUGGCAUUGGUGUUCACACAUUGUGGCACCUGACCUCGAUUAGCUUGGUCUUUUGGUGUGGUCAAUGGGUUUAUUUUACCUCUUUUCUUUUAUUUUGUCUUCAGCAAUAGCUUGGCUUUGAAGUUUGUUCGUUUAUGGUCAACGAGUCCGCUAAGUCAACUGGGGUCGACCACAUGCAGUGAUUUCUCACUCUUUACAUCAUCUGCAAUUUCAUAGAUUAAUCCAUCAUAAGUAUUUGAUGGCAUUACUUGUCUGGUUAUGAUUGGUUCCCUGGAUGCGUUUUAGACUUUAAUCCAUUGCCACUUCUUUUUCACUUUCCAUUUUUUUCUUCACGAAAAUUAUUUGUAGGAUCUCAUUUAUUAGAUGAUAUUGGGCCGGUUAUUUGGCUUUAUCCAUGAUUUGCAAGUAAUUUUCAUGGGGAGUUCUUGCCGAGAUCCCCCAGAAGAGUAAUCUCUACCAGUUUUCGGCAAUCCUAUGAACCUCAUUUAAUGAUCAUUUAAUGAUCUGCUUGAAUGUGUGAGCAUAUCAUAUUCUCCUGGGGAAUCUCAAUGAGCGACCCUGUGUUUCUGAUUCUGGUUCUUUCAUCAGGCGAAGAUAGGAGCGAUGUGAAGGCCGCUGAAGAACAUGGAAGCCCGGCUCUAUCGUCGGGACCAAUGGGAGUCUUCUCGAUCCAAAACCCUGAUUACAGGCAGCCCAUCUUGAGUUCAUCUGGUGUAGUAAGGAUAUAUUUAUAUACAUGCAUUUAUAUAUAUAUAUAUAUUUGAUCACUUCAUAUAUAUAUAUUUUUUGUGUGAUUAUCCGUCAUUUUAUUUUACUCAAUCUCUGCCACAGAAUUGCAUUCCCUACACGUAUGUGGAACCCUACUACGGAGGCUUCAUGGCUGCCUAUGGAGCUCAUUCUUUCGUAAGUGGGUCCUGGAUCCUUUUUUUUUUUAAUUUUCCUCAUUGAUUCUCCAAACAUACCCAAAUACCCAAGAUAGCAUAUUUUUGUGCUUUCUUUUCAUUUUUCUUUUUAUUUUUCUUUUUGAGGAAAAAAAUUCCUACCUCCCGGUUCUUUGGUUCUUUCUCAUGAGGCAUCAUGGGUGAGCUCUCAAGUACCUCUAGAAAUGCGCCGGUUUCUCUCUCUUCAAGUGUGAGCUCUCAAGUGCCAGGACGGGUGGUGGAGCUCUCACUAGCGAACCCAGAUGCCCAAAGUGCGAUGCCAUGUUCUUCAUUCAUGAGCAGUCGAGCCUCUCUCUCUCUCUCUNNNN
Molecule: long non-coding RNA, 1715 nt
Filed under: Spirodela polyrhiza (greater duckweed)
Lineage: Eukaryota; Viridiplantae; Streptophyta; Magnoliopsida; Alismatales; Araceae
Description: long non-coding RNA (SPOL_LNC000152)
Source: RNAcentral